This is a long non-coding RNA of Phyllostomus hastatus (greater spear-nosed bat), 725 nucleotides long. RefSeq lists it as uncharacterized. NCBI's taxonomy places the organism in Eukaryota, Metazoa, Chordata, Mammalia, Chiroptera, Phyllostomidae. The record is from RefSeq and is a predicted model, not a curated record. The transcript has 4 exons.
UCACAGUUGAAGUCGGGCAUCUUGGGCAGGAUCAUGCCCGCGGUGGACGCGCGCAGCCACUGGUCCAGCUGGAAGGUGCCGGCGCCCAGCUUGAUGGGGUCGACGGGGUGCGCGGGGUGCGCGCCCUGCACCUGCGGGUCCGUCCUGUCUUCGGAACGAGGUUUAUAACGCCCGGCCCAGGCCGGCUUCUUCUGCAGCUGCAGCCCGAGGGCCCUCUCAGAACCAGCCCGGCUGUGACCUGCAGUUCCCCAAACUAUUUUCAUGAUUCAGAGGCUGCAGCUGUGGACGACUGGUGACCGGCAGCUUCCUCACAACAAUGCACCUGCUCAUGCACCACGUCUCGUGCACAGUGUUUUGGAGAAACAGCCGAUCACCCAGAGUACAUGGCUAGAUGCCUUCUGGACAGACUUCAUAUGUUAAUCAUAAAGACAAUUAAAGACAACAUUUAAAACGCCAAAAUAAAAACUACGCACAUAAGACCAGAAGAAAAUCAUAGCCAACCGCGGGGAAAAGACAGGUGCAGCAAGAUCUUCGAAGUCCUCCUCUGGCCACGCCUCAGGUGGACCCCAAGUGGGGGCGGGCAGCUGUGGGCUGCAGCCUGUCUGUUCCCCACUCGGGCAUCCCCCCUCCAGGGCCCCUCCAAGCUGGGGGGAGGUCGUUCCCCCCCCCCACUGCGGUGAGAGGGGCGGGCACAGAGGAACGGACUUAGACAAGAGCUAGUGAAA